RNAcentral lists this ribosomal RNA (776 nucleotides) under uncultured Neocallimastigales. Its description in RNAcentral is "partial large subunit ribosomal RNA". It matches the Rfam family "Eukaryotic large subunit ribosomal RNA", at positions 23 to 646 of the family's 3401-position model. The record is from RNAcentral. Lineage: Eukaryota; Fungi; Neocallimastigomycota; Neocallimastigomycetes; Neocallimastigales.
AGAGAGAGACAUGCGCGCAUAUCAAUAAGCGGAGGAAAAGAAACUAACAAGGAUUCCCUUAGUAACGGCGAGUGAAGCGGGAAGAGCUCAAAUUUGAAAUCUUCAAGGUUUUACCUUGACGAAUUGUAGUUUAAAGAAGUGUUUUCUGUUGAAGUUUUGGUAAAAGUUCUUUGGAAUAGGACAUCAUAGAGGGUGAGAAUCCCGUAUUUGACCAUUAUUUUCAGCUGUGUGAUACACUUUCAAAGAGUCGGAUUGUUUGGGAAUGCAGUCCAAAAUGGGUGGUAAAUUUCAUCUAAAGCUAAAUAUUGGCGAGAGACCGAUAGCGAACAAGUACCGUGAGAGAAAGAUGAAAAGAACUUUGAAAAGAGAGUUAAACAGUACGUGAAAUUGUCAAAAGGGAAGCGUUUGACACCAGUGUUGUUUUCUCGAAAAUCAAUUAAAAAGAGUUAGAUUUUGUUGUGUAUUGACCUUAACAGCUUGCAUUUCAAUUUUUCUUGCUUUUUUUAAUGCACUUUUCAGUUAACAAGUCAACAUCAAUUUCUUUUGCUGUAAAAAAGCUUGAGGAAGGUGGCUUGAGAUUCGUCUUAAGUGUUUAUAGCCUCUUGGCCUAUGCAAUCGGAGAGAUUGAGGUCUGCAGCGUAGAUCCUUCGGGGUUAGAUACAUUUGUGCUAAGUUAUAGCCUUUCAUAGACAACUUGUUGACUAUGAUCAGUCAUGUAGCUUACUCGCUUAUGCUAUUUUACCUACGCUUAGGAUGUUGAUGUGAUACUGCGAGCA